ACCAGGCGUGGUGGCGCAUGCCUGUAAUCCCAGCGGCUUGGGAGGCUGAGGCAGAAGGAUCCAGAGUUCAAAGCCAGCCUCAGCAAAAGCAAUGAACUAAGCAACUCAGUGAGACCCUGUCUCUA
This 125-nucleotide small RNA is filed under the name Marmota monax (woodchuck). The record is from RNAcentral. Lineage: Eukaryota; Metazoa; Chordata; Mammalia; Rodentia; Sciuridae.